UUUUUCAAAACUUUGUUUAUU
RNAcentral lists this non-coding RNA (21 nucleotides) under Caenorhabditis elegans. The record is from RNAcentral. Lineage: Eukaryota; Metazoa; Nematoda; Chromadorea; Rhabditida; Rhabditidae.